This 654-nucleotide ribosomal RNA is filed under the name Bacillus cereus. RNAcentral's name for it is "partial 23S ribosomal RNA". It matches the Rfam family "Bacterial large subunit ribosomal RNA", at positions 1 to 646 of the family's 2925-position model. The record is from RNAcentral. Lineage: Bacteria; Bacillati; Bacillota; Bacilli; Caryophanales; Bacillaceae.
GUUUGGUUAAGUUAGAAAGGGCGCACGGUGGAUGCCUUGACACUAGGAGUCGAUGAAGGACGGGACUAACGCCGAUAUGCUUCGGGGAGCUGUAAGUAAGCUUUGAUCCGAAGAUUUCCGAAUGGGGAAACCCACCAUACGUAAUGGUAUGGUAUCCUUAUCUGAAUACAUAGGGUAAGGAAGACAGACCCAGGGAACUGAAACAUCUAAGUACCUGGAGGAAGAGAAAGCAAAUGCGAUUUCCUGAGUAGCGGCGAGCGAAACGGAACAUAGCCCAAACCAAGAGGCUUGCCUCUUGGGGUUGUAGGACAUUCUAUACGGAGUUACAAAGGAACGAGGUAGACGAAGCGACCUGGAAAGGUCCGUCGUAGAGGGUAACAACCCCGUAGUCGAAACUUCGUUCUCUCUUGAAUGUAUCCUGAGUACGGCGGAACACGUGAAAUUCCGUCGGAAUCUGGGAGGACCAUCUCCCAAGGCUAAAUACUUCCUAGUGAUCGAUAGUGAACCAGUACCGUGAGGGAAAGGUGAAAAGCACCCCGGAAGGGGAGUGAAAGAGAUCCUGAAACCGUGUGCCUACAAAUAGUCAGAGCCCGUUAACGGGUGAUGGCGUGCCUUUUGUAGAAUGAACCGGCGAGUUACGAUCCCGUGCGAGGU